UGGGGAAUAUUGCACAAGGGAGGGAACUCUGAUGCAGCGACGCCGCGUGAACGAAGAAGGCUUUCGAGUCGUAAAGUUCUUUUAUAUGGGAAGAUAAUGACGGUACCAUAAGAAGAAGCCCCGGCUAACUACGUGCCAGCAGCCGCGGUAAUACGUAGGGUGCUAGCGUUGUCCGGAAUCACUGGGCGUAAAGGGUUCGCAGGCGGAAAUGCAAGUCAGGUGUAAAAGGCAGUAGCUUAACUACUGUAAGCAUUUGAAACUGCAUAUCUUGAGAAGAGUAGAGGUAAGUGGAAUUUUUAGUGUAGCGGUGAAAUGCGUAGAUAUUAAACAGAAUACCGGUGGCGAAGGCGACUUACUGGGCUCAUUCUGACGCUGAGGAACGAAAGCGUGGGUAGCAAACAGG
RNAcentral lists this ribosomal RNA (403 nucleotides) under bacterium. RNAcentral describes it as "partial 16S ribosomal RNA". It matches the Rfam family "Bacterial small subunit ribosomal RNA", at positions 355 to 776 of the family's 1533-position model. The record is from RNAcentral.